Molecule: long non-coding RNA, 318 nt
Filed under: Penaeus japonicus
Lineage: Eukaryota; Metazoa; Arthropoda; Malacostraca; Decapoda; Penaeidae
Description: uncharacterized LOC122263069
Source: RNAcentral
CAAGAUGAAGUUCACUCACAUUUUGAUGCUCGUGUUCAGCCUAUUUGCUCUGGUGUUCACGGGAUCAGCUGAUCCAGAACCUGGCGGGAAAUUCAAACCAAAAGGCCAUCAUGGACACCAUGGCGGAUUCAAAGGAGGCUUCAAAGGGGGCUUCAAGAAACCCCUUAAGCUUAAGGGCUAGACACACACCCAACCGACUUCACGACUCCCUCAAGACAUCGGCGAAGAUUCUCUGUGAUUUCUUCUCUUUCCUCUACGACAACGAAGCUUUGAGGAACCCCUGGAUGCAAAUUCAAUCAGAUUAAAAGAGCAAAUUUU